CAGCUGCAAGAGAAGGCACACUAUGGAAUGAGAAGCAAAGCACCCUGUGCCUCCAUGUAGAUUCUGUGGGGUGAAUGAAUCCGAAGGGUUUCCUGUGCAAGGCCCCUGUUCCCGAGGCAGUGGCAGCUCUGUAGUCUCCCGGGCUCACUCUGGAGCCUGACUUCACCUUCCUGAGAGGAGGCAGCUCCUUUCCAGUGAACUCUGCAGCCAGAAGAGAAAGGCGGAGCCUGCAGAAGCUGCUGCAGGACUAUUAGGAGGCAUUGGAGAGAGUCUCACAUUAGUAGCUGGGUUCUGGGGGAAGGGGGCUCAGCAGGCUGGAGGUGGAAGGAAAGGCUUCAUGCUGUGUCACUUUUGAGUCAUCCCCAGGUGCCAGCACACUCACCCCACCUAUCAGCAUGACCGUGCCAUGUGCACCCAUCUGCCCAUUCCUCUUCACGGUGGUGCAGCUGCAGAAAAGAAUACGCUGUGACACUUGAGGAGGAGAGGGAGCUUUGGAGAGCACAGCUACCCCUUGUUUUAUAGUUCCUACUGGGUAUUGAACCCAGGGCCUGACGCACACUGGGGAAACACUGCACCACUGGACUGCAUCCUCAGCUUCCAAAUUCAGUUCUGAGGGAGACAAUCCAUAGUUCCAGCCUCGGGUCUCCUGUGUGAGAACACUGAGAAGUGUCUGCUCAGACGAGAAAGCUCACACUAAAGACAGCAGACGUCCCCUGAAACUCAGCUCGGAGCCUCGUUUGAUCUCUUGUCUCUGCUCCCUUCUACUAUGGAGUUCUCGGCUUCAACCUAUUACCUUCUGACUGCACGAGAAAAACGAAAGAUAUGGAUAGAGGCAAGAAAGAUAAUUAAUGACGAACACAGGCUAAUUCAAAAGGGAUUCUGAAAGGAGCGUCCUGAUUUGCUGAGAGUCAUAAAUAAUGUAAAUAACUUCCCUGCGUUUUACACAAGUAGAAUCUUUUUUGGUGGUAAACACGGAGAUUGCAUAUGUAUACAUACAUACAUCUCCCAUCCAAAACUGUAUGCAAUUAGCAUUUGGAAGAUUAUAAUUAUAGCCUGGUUGGGCUUUUCUUUUUUGUAGGUGCUAAAAUUGAUUUCUUGGCUGAAUUAUUUUUGCAGUAGACUUAAACCCCUAAUUGUACACCUAAAUGAAAUUGAGUGUGAACAAAUCGAAUAACUUUUAUUUUGCCUUGGAUAAUAAUUUAUUGAUGCAGAUAAAGCUCCUUAAUUAAAUCGGGCACAGCCAGGCCUGUGGAGGCCCCACCUAAAGGCGUUUUGUCACAGUGCUGUAGUGAUUAUUUUAAUUUUAGAAUAAUACUCUGCUAUUCUUAGACUUGUGUAUCUCUUAAGGCCUGCAGAGGUAGUGAGUUGAGUUCGGUACUGCUUCAAAUCCCAGGUGGAUUUGGUAUGGAUCAUUUUGUAAGAAGUGCUUCUCGGUUAUACAUUACAAUUAAGUACAUCCAAAAUUACAAUUAAAUGCAUCCAAAAUGGAAA
This is a non-coding RNA of Ictidomys tridecemlineatus (thirteen-lined ground squirrel), 1491 nucleotides long. Lineage: Eukaryota; Metazoa; Chordata; Mammalia; Rodentia; Sciuridae. The record is from RefSeq and is a predicted model, not a curated record.